GCUAAGUCGUAACAAGGUAGCCGUACCGGAAGGUGCGGCUGGAACACCUCCUUUCUGGAGCGAA
This 64-nucleotide ribosomal RNA is filed under the name Porphyromonas canoris. RNAcentral's name for it is "partial 16S ribosomal RNA". The stretch from base 1 to 54 matches the Rfam family "Bacterial small subunit ribosomal RNA", at positions 1480 to 1533 of the family's 1533-position model. The record is from RNAcentral. Lineage: Bacteria; Pseudomonadati; Bacteroidota; Bacteroidia; Bacteroidales; Porphyromonadaceae.